CCGCGAAUAGCUCAUUACAAUAGCCGUUGUUUCUUGGAUCCUCAAUUUACUUGGAUACCUGUGGUAAUUCUAGAGCUAAUACAUGCGACUAAGGGCCGAACUCACGUGACGCUUGCAUUUAUUAGAUCAAGACUAACCGGCUUCGGCCGUUAACUUGGUGACUCUGAAUAACUCAGCUGAUCGCACGGUCUAGUGCCGGCGACAUAUCUUUCAAGUGUCUACCUUAUCAACUGUCGAUGGUAGUUUAUGUGACUACCAUGGUUGUAACGGGUAACGGAGAAUCAGGGUUUGACUCCGGAGAGGGAGCCUGAGAAACGGCUACCACUUCUAAGGAAGGCAGCAGGCGCGCAAAUUACACAAUCUCAGCACGAGGAUGUAGUGACGAAACAUACCGAGGCGAUGCCCUUUCGGGUGUCGUCAUUGGAAUGAGUCGAAUCUAAAAAAUUCGGCAAGGAUCUAGUGGAGGGCAAGUCUGGUGCCAGCAGCCGCGGUAAUUCCAGCUCCGCAAGUGUAUAUCUAUGCUGUUGCGGUUAAAAAGCUCGUAGUUUGAUUCGCGUACUUAGCACGCAGUGUGGCCUUUCGGCUACUACUGUGAUGCGGUACAUUAUCGUCAGUUUGUCGUUGAUGCUCUUCAUUGGGUGUCAGCGGCGGCUGUCAAGUUUACUUUGAACAAAUUAAAGUGCUCAAUACAGGCGUUUCGCUUGUAUAGUUCUGCAUGGAAUAAUAGAAUAGGACUUACGUUCUAUUGUGUUGGUUUUCAGAACGAAAGUAAUGAUUAAGAGGGACAGACGGGGUCAUUCGUACUGCCACGUUAGAGGUGAAAUUCUUGGAUCGUGGCAAGACGAACUACUGCGAAAGCAUUUGACAAGAAUGUUUUCAUUAAUCAAGAACGAAAGUUAUGGGUUCG
This 907-nucleotide ribosomal RNA is filed under the name Halomonhystera disjuncta. Its description in RNAcentral is "SSU rRNA". It matches the Rfam family "Eukaryotic small subunit ribosomal RNA", at positions 87 to 1000 of the family's 1831-position model. The record is from RNAcentral. Lineage: Eukaryota; Metazoa; Nematoda; Chromadorea; Monhysterida; Monhysteridae.